UGCCGCGUGUAUGAAGAAGGCCUUCGGGUUGUAAAGUACUUUCAGUUGUGAGGAAGGGUGUGUAGUUAAUAGCUGCACAUCUUGACGUUAGCAACAGAAGAAGCACCGGCUAACUCCGUGCCAGCAGCCGCGGUAAUACGGAGGGUGCGAGCGUUAAUCGGAAUUACUGGGCGUAAAGCGCAUGCAGGUGGUUCAUUAAGUCAGAUGUGAAAGCCCGGGGCUCAACCUCGGAACUGCAUUUGAAACUGGUGAACUAGAGUGCUGUAGAGGGGGGUAGAAUUUCAGGUGUAGCGGUGAAAUGCGUAGAGAUCUGAAGGAAUACCAGUGGCGAAGGCGGCCCCCUGGACAGACACUGACACUCAGAUGCGAAAGCGUGGGGAGCAAACAGGAUUAGAUACCCUGGUAGUCCACGCCGUAAACGAUGUCUACUUGGAGGUUGUGGCCUUGAGCCGUGGCUUUCGGAGCUAACGCGUUAAGUAGACCGCCUGGGGAGUACGGUCGCAAGAUUA
RNAcentral lists this ribosomal RNA (509 nucleotides) under uncultured Gammaproteobacteria bacterium. RNAcentral's name for it is "bacterial SSU rRNA". It matches the Rfam family "Bacterial small subunit ribosomal RNA", at positions 395 to 896 of the family's 1533-position model. Lineage: Bacteria; Pseudomonadati; Pseudomonadota; Gammaproteobacteria. The record is from RNAcentral.